UCAGGUAGAGAAUACCAAGGCGCUUGAGAGAACUCGGGUGAAGGAACUAGGCAAAAUGGUGCCGUAACUUCGGGAGAAGGCACGCUGGUGUGUAGGUGAAGUCCCUGCGGAUGGAGCUGAGACCAGUCGAAGAUACCAGCUGGCUGCAACUGUUUAUUAAAAACACAGCACUGUGCAAACACGAAAGUGGACGUAUACGGUGUGACGCCUGCCCGGUGCCGGA
Molecule: ribosomal RNA, 223 nt
Filed under: Klebsiella variicola
Lineage: Bacteria; Pseudomonadati; Pseudomonadota; Gammaproteobacteria; Enterobacterales; Enterobacteriaceae
Also listed under: 1 other name
Description: partial 23S ribosomal RNA
Rfam family: Bacterial large subunit ribosomal RNA
Source: RNAcentral